This 253-nucleotide ribosomal RNA is filed under the name uncultured bacterium. RNAcentral's name for it is "partial 16S ribosomal RNA". It matches the Rfam family "Bacterial small subunit ribosomal RNA", at positions 524 to 776 of the family's 1533-position model. The record is from RNAcentral.
UACAGAGGUCUCAAGCGUUGUUCGGAUUCAUUGGGCGUAAAGGGUGCGUAGGCGGCGCGGUAAGUCGGGUGUGAAAUCUCGGAGCUUAACUCCGAAACUGCAUUCGAUACUGCCGUGCUUGAGGACUGGAGAGGAGACUGGAAUUUACGGUGUAGCGGUGAAAUGCGUAGAUAUCGUAAGGAAGACCAGUGGCGAAGGCGGGUCUCUGGACAGUUCCUGACGCUGAUGUACGAAGGCCAGGGGAGCAAACGGG